RNAcentral lists this ribosomal RNA (495 nucleotides) under uncultured bacterium. RNAcentral describes it as "partial 16S ribosomal RNA". It matches the Rfam family "Bacterial small subunit ribosomal RNA", at positions 28 to 507 of the family's 1533-position model. The record is from RNAcentral.
GACGAACGCUGGCGGCGUGCCUAAUACAUGCAAGUAGAACGCUGAAGGAGGAGCUUGCUUCUCCGGAUGAGUUGCGAACGGGUGAGUAACGCGUAGGUAACCUGCCUGGUAGCGGGGGAUAACUAUUGGAAACGAUAGCUAAUACCGCAUAAGAGUAGAUGUCGCAUGACAUUUGCUUAAAAGGUGCAACUGCACCACUACCAGAUGGACCUGCGUUGUAUUAGCUAGUUGGUGAGGUAACGGCUCACCAAGGCAACGAUACAUAGCCGACCUGAGAGGGGGAUCGGCCACACUGGGACUGAGACACGGCCCAGACUCCUACGGGAGGCAGCAGUAGGGAAUCUUCGGCAAUGGACGGAAGUCUGACCGAGCAACGCCGCGGGAGUGAAGAAGGUUUUCGGAUCGUAAAGCUCUGUUGUAAGAGAAGAACGAGUGUGAGAGUGGAAAGUUCACACUGUGACGGUAUCUUACCAGAAAGGGACGGCUAACUACGUG